UAGAGGAAGUAAAAGUCGUAACAAGGUUUCCGUAGGUGAACCUGCGGAAGGAUCAUUAUCUAUUCCAUGAGGUGCGGUCGCGGCCCUCGGCGGGAGCAACAGCUACCGUCGGGCGGUAGAGGUAACACUUUCACGCGCCGCAUGUCUGAAUCCUUUUUUUACGAGCACCUUUCGUUCUCCUUCGGCGGGGCAACCUGCCGUUGGAACCUAUCAAAACCUUUUUUUUGCAUCUAGCAUUACCUGUUCUGAUACAAACAAUCGUUACAACUUUCAACAAUGGAUCUCUUGGCUCUGGCAUCGAUGAAGAACGCAGCGAAAUGCGAUAAGUAGUGUGAAUUGCAGAAUUCAGUGAAUCAUCGAAUCUUUGAACGCACAUUGCGCCCCUUGGUAUUCCAUGGGGCAUGCCUGUUCGAGCGUCAUCUACACCCUCAAGCUCUGCUUGGUGUUGGGCGUCUGUCCCGCCUCUGCGCGCGGACUCGCCCCAAAUUCAUUGGCAGCGGUCCUUGCCUCCUCUCGCGCAGCACAUUGCGCUUCUCGAGGUGCGCGGCCCGCGUCCACGAAGCAACAUUACCGUCUUUGACCUCGGAUCAGGUAGGGAUACCCGCUGAACUUAAGCAUAUCAUA
This 624-nucleotide ribosomal RNA is filed under the name fungal endophyte. RNAcentral's name for it is "eukaryotic LSU rRNA". The stretch from base 266 to 419 matches the Rfam family "5.8S ribosomal RNA". Lineage: Eukaryota; Fungi. The record is from RNAcentral.